Molecule: small nuclear RNA, 194 nt
Organism: Hemiscyllium ocellatum (epaulette shark)
Lineage: Eukaryota; Metazoa; Chordata; Chondrichthyes; Orectolobiformes; Hemiscylliidae
Product: U2 spliceosomal RNA
Exons: 1
Source: RefSeq, a predicted model, not a curated record
AUCGCUUCUUGGCCUUUUGGCUUGGAAUAUGUGUAGUUUCUGUUCUUAUCAGUUUAAUCGCUGAUAUCUCCCGAAGGUGGGAGUGUUUGUAUUAAAUUUAUUUUUGGAUUUUUGGAGCAGGGAGAUGGCUUAAGGGCUUGCUCUGUCCUCUCCAUGUAUCAGAGUAAAAAGUGAGGUCUGCAGAUGCUGGAGAU